Molecule: ribosomal RNA, 450 nt
Filed under: uncultured bacterium
Lineage: Bacteria
Description: partial 16S ribosomal RNA
Rfam family: Bacterial small subunit ribosomal RNA
Source: RNAcentral
CCUACGGGCGGCUGCAGUGGGGAAUUUUGGACAAUGGGGGCAACCCUGAUCCAGCCAUGCCGCGUGCGGGAAGAAGGCCUUCGGGUUGUAAACCGCUUUUGUCAGGGAAGAAAUCUUCCGAGUUAAUACCUUGGGAGGCUGACGGUACCUGCAGAAUAAGCACCGGCUAACUACGUGCCAGCAGCCGCGGUAAUACGUAGGGUGCAAGCGUUAAUCGGAGUGACUGCGGGUAAAGCGUGCGCAGACGUGUGAAAUCCCCGGGCUUAACCUUGGAACUGCACUUGUGACUGUACGGCUGGAGUACGGCAGAGGGAGAUGGAAUUCCGCGUGUAGCAGUGAAAUGCGUAGAUAUGCGGAGGAACACCGAUGGCGAAGGCAGUCCCCUGGGCCUGUACUGACGCUCAUGCACGAAAGCGUGGGGAGCAAACAGGAUUAGAUACCCGAGUAGUC